Molecule: ribosomal RNA, 1236 nt
Filed under: metagenome
Description: bacterial LSU rRNA
Rfam family: Bacterial large subunit ribosomal RNA
Source: RNAcentral
UGAGUACGAGCUGCUACGGCAGCGAAGUGGAUGAUGUCAAGCUUCCAAGAAAAGCCCUAUACCCGUUAAGGCAUGACGGCCUGUACCCGAAACCGACACAGGUGGGGUGGUAGAGAAUACCGAGGGGCGCGAGAUAACUCUCUCUAAGGAACUCGGCAAAAUGGCCCCGUAACUUCGGGAGAAGGGGUGCCACCGCGAGGUGGUCGCAGUGAAGAGGCCCAGGCGACUGUUUACCAAAAACACAGGUCUCCGCUAAGUCGCAAGACGAUGUAUGGGGGCUGACGCCUGCCCAGUGCCGGAAGGUUAAGGAAGCCGGUCAGCGUAAGCGAAGCUGGCGACUGAAGCCCCGGUGAACGGCGGCCGUAACUAUAACGGUCCUAAGGUAGCGAAAUCCCUUGUCGGGUAAGUUCCGACCCGCACGAAAGGCGUAACGAUCUGGGCGCUGUCUCGGAGAGAGGCUCGGCGAAAUAGAAUUGUCUGUGAAGAUGCGGACUACGUGCACCCGGACAGAAGACCCUAUGAAGCUUUACUGUAGCUUGGUAUUGUGCUCGGGCUCUGAAUGCGCAGGAUAGGUGGGAGGCUUUGAUCCAUUGCUUGUGGGUGAUGGUGAGUCACUGGUGAGAUACCACUCUUUCAGAGCUAGGGUUCUAACGGUCACCCGUUAUCCGGGGACCGGACAGUAUCAGGUGGGCAGUUUGACUGGGGUGGUCGCCUCCUAAAAGGUAACGGAGGCGCGCAAAGGUUCCCUCAGGCUGGUUGGAAAUCAGCCGACGAGUGCAAAGGCAGAAGGGAGCUUGACUGUGAGACCAACAAGUCGAACAGGGACGAAAGUCGGCCUUAGUGAUCCGACGGUUCCGAGUGGAAGGGCCGUCGCUCAACGGAUAAAAGUUACUCUAGGAUAACAGGCUGAUCUCCCCCAAGAGUUCACAUCGACGGGGAGGUUUGGCACCUCGAUGUCGGCUCAUCGCAACCUGGGGCUGAAGUCGGUCCCAAGGGUUGGGCUGUUCGCCCAUUAAAGCGGUACGCGAGCUGGGUUCAGAACGUCGUGAGACAGUUCGGUCCAUAUCCGGUGCAUGCGCAGGAACAUUGAGAGGAUUUCUCCCUAGUACGAGAGGACCGGGAGGAACGCACCUCUGGUGUACCAGUUAUCGUGCCAACGGUAAACGCUGGGUAGCCAUGUGCGGAGCGGAUAACCGCUGAAAGCAUCUAAGUGGGAAGCCCACCUCAGGAUGAGUG